UUUCCGUAGGUGAACCUGCGGAAGGAUCAUUAUUGUAUAAUCGAGGUGCGAGGGCUGUCGCUGUCCCGAAAGGUCGUGCACGCCCGAGUGCCCUCACCCACAUCCAUCUUACCCCUAUGUGCACCACCGCGUGGGUCCCCCUUUGGCUUGUUCGGAGGGGGGCUUACGUUUUCACACAAACUUUGUAUGCAGUGUAGAAUGUAUUUUUUGUGUUUGCGAUCACGUAAUCAAUACAACUUUCAACAACGGAUCUCUUGGCUCUC
RNAcentral lists this unclassified non-coding RNA (263 nucleotides) under plant metagenome. Its description in RNAcentral is "partial contains small subunit ribosomal RNA, internal transcribed spacer 1, and 5.8S ribosomal RNA". The record is from RNAcentral.